Molecule: ribosomal RNA, 468 nt
Filed under: uncultured bacterium
Lineage: Bacteria
Description: partial 16S ribosomal RNA
Rfam family: Bacterial small subunit ribosomal RNA
Source: RNAcentral
GACGAACGCUGGCGGCGUGCUUAACACAUGCAAGUCGAACGGAAAGGCCCUGCUUUUGUGGGGUGCUCGAGUGGCGAACGGGUGAGUAACACGUGAGUAACCUGCCCUUGACUUUGGGAUAACUUCAGGAAACUGGGGCUAAUACCGGAUAGGAGCUCCUGCUGCAUGGUGGGGGUUGGAAAGUUUCGGCGUUUGGGGAUGGUCUCGCGGCUUAUCAGCUUGUUGGUGGGGUAGUGGCUUACCAAGGCUUUGACGGGUAGCCGGCCUGAGAGGGUGACCGGCCACAUUGGGACUGAGAUACGGCCCAGACUCCUACGGGAGGCAGCAGUGGGGAAUAUUGCACAGUGGGCGGAAGCCUGAUGCAGCAACGCCGCGUGCGGGAUGACGGCCUACGGGUUGUGAACCGCUUUCGCCUGUGACGAAGCGUGCGUGACGGUAAUGGGUAAAGAAGCACCGGCUAACUACGUG